UUCCUGUGCUAGAACCAGACAUUCCAACCCGCAUGGAACUCCCACCCAAGGAUGACCACACAAGACUUCCAGAACAUUCUAUCCUUUGCUGAUAGGGGAGCCCGCCUGAGAAAGCCUUCCAGGUCUCUGAACUUCAGCAGCAAGAUGAGUGGAUCAGCCCCCAGGCUCAGACAGCCCAAGCCCACGAGGAUGCCGUUCUGGAACACCUCGAGCCCCAUGUGCCCUGGAAAGCAAGAUUCACGCUGGAAGCUCACCAUGGCUUUUGAAGACUGAAGCUGAGGACCCUUCCUCCUCCUGGGAGGUGGUGGGAAAGAGCACUGUUCUGGGAGUCAGUUCAGCUAUCUGUCAGCCCUUCUGUCAACCCCAGCAUUGCCCAGCCUGCAUC
RNAcentral lists this long non-coding RNA (385 nucleotides) under Cervus hanglu yarkandensis (Yarkand deer). Its description in RNAcentral is "lncRNA (ENSCHYG00000020998.1)". The record is from RNAcentral. Lineage: Eukaryota; Metazoa; Chordata; Mammalia; Artiodactyla; Cervidae.